This 494-nucleotide ribosomal RNA is filed under the name uncultured bacterium. Its description in RNAcentral is "partial 16S ribosomal RNA". It matches the Rfam family "Bacterial small subunit ribosomal RNA", at positions 28 to 507 of the family's 1533-position model. The record is from RNAcentral.
GACGAACGCUGGCGGCGUGCUUAACACAUGCAAGUCGAACGGUGAAGCGCCUUCCUUUUUGGUGGGUGUGGAUGAGUGGCGAACGGGUGAGUAACACGUGAGUAACCUGCCCCCUUCUUCUGGAUAACCGCAUGAAAGUGUGGCUAAUACGGGAUAUUCUGGGUCUGUCGCAUGAUGGGUCUGGGACAGAUAUUGUUUCGGUGGGGGAUGGGCUCGCGGCCUAUCAGCUUGUUGGCGGGGUGAUGGCCUACCAAGGCGGUGACGGGUAGCCGGCCUUGGAGGGUGGCCGGUCAAACGGGGACUGCGACACGGCCCAGACUCCUACGGGAGGCAGCAGGGGGGAAUAUUGCACAAUGGGCUCAAGCCUGAUGCAGCGACGCCGCGUGAGGGAUGGAGGCCUUCGGGUUGUGAACCUCUUUCGCCAGUGAAGCAGGCCUGCCUCGUUUGUGGGUGGGUUGACGGUAGCUGGAUAAGAAGCGCCGGCUAACUACGUG